Long non-coding RNA from Pipistrellus kuhlii (Kuhl's pipistrelle), 2066 nucleotides. RefSeq lists it as uncharacterized. Lineage: Eukaryota; Metazoa; Chordata; Mammalia; Chiroptera; Vespertilionidae. The transcript is spliced from 4 exons. The record is from RefSeq and is a predicted model, not a curated record.
UUUUUUUAAAGAAAGAGAAAAGGUGGGUAGACUUUGUCCUUGAGCCUGUGGAGAUUGUGUCUUUAGCCCUUGGGAGUUUGCAGCUCAAAAGCCCGUGCCCUUCCCUGACAGAUGGCACCCGAUGCCAGCAGCACUGGACUUAGGGAGGCAGCCGAGUCCAAGAGCAAUGGAGACCUGGGCUGGAUGGAGGACAGGAGACGGGCGGAGGCAGUGGGGAGAGGUGGAGAGGGAGCAUGUGUCCUGUGCCCAGCGGAGCUAACAGAGCACCUGGACUUGGAUCUGAUGCGUUCCCAUCCUCUAACACAAGCUCUCACCACACCAAGGCAGCUCUGGCACGCCACCAGGGUGUCACACAGAAGACCAGAGUGUUUCAGACCUCUGUCUUUGAGGUGAGGAUGUGAGAGCCAAGGCCGAGUUCCAGCUGGCCAGAGGGAAUGAGGGGCGGGUUCUUGGGAGGGCAGCCGUGGCUGGGGACACGGAUUUGGAAGCAGAGGCUGACCGUGUGGUGAUGGGUGAUUGUGUGGGGGUGGGGCAGGGUAGACAGGGUUCUGAGGAGAGAGCAGGGGAGGCCUCUGGGAACACAGUGUUCUCAGGAAGCAGCAGUUCCUGUGGUGAAUCUUGGCUUCUUGCCCCCAACAAACUUCCUGAUUCUGGACUGCGUGGCCUCAGUGCUGCACCGUCCCCUGCCGCACCUCUGUGGAGACCUACUGUGUGUGGGCACUGUGCAGCCGGAGGCCCUGCCCGCCUCCCUUGGGGCAGAUACUGUGCUUCCUUGUGCAGAUGAGCACCCAGAGGACCUGAGGCCCUGCAGCCGGUGAGUCACAGGAGUGAGUCACCCUGCAUUGUGAGUGCAGAUGAUCCCAGGAGGAAGCAUCGGGCAGUGGGAAAAGUUGGCUUUUCAAAGCUGCUCUGGGCAUGUCUAACCACAGAGGGUUGUAGAUGGGAUGAGAAGGUAGCCUGAGGGGCUGUCACUCCAGCGUUCCCAUCUCAGGCAAUUCCACCAGGCACACGCGGAGAUGAGAGGGCUGUGACACAGAAGCUAAAAGCCUCAAUUACCCUUCGUGACAGGAACAGAGGACAUAUUUACGAAAAGAGAAGUUUUUGCCUCGUAAAUCACACUUGCGAGGAAUCAGGAAUCAGCGGAGCUGGUGACAGCCAGAGGCAGCCUCUGGGCGAGAGGGGAUCACCCGGCCUCACACCUGCUCAUUAAACCCAGACCGUGUCCUGAGAGAGCACCUGGGCGUCAGCCAGGGCCAGGAGCGGGCCAGGGCCGGCAGCAAGCAGGGCUGGAGCUCAGGUGCAUCCCGGGUUCCCAAUCUUGGGGGCUCAUAGCUAUCCACUGUGGAAGUGCAAGGCUUGGGGGGGCUUUAAAAGACCCUGUCACCUGGGUCCCACCCCCAGAGAUGGAUGAUGUCAUUGUCCUGGUGGAGCAUGGGAACUGGGAGCUUUAAAAGCCACCUGAAUGAUUCUGACAGACAGCCAAGGCUCAGCGCUCACGAGGCCUGACCCUGCCUGCCAAUCGAUGAAUCAAACAGCGAGCUUUUAGCAAGUGCAGCCUGGUAGGGGGCCCAGAAAUAGGCCAGCUUUCUAUCUGGGCUCCUGCACCACGUUGCUGACUCCCAUGCCCCACGGGCGACAAAGGCCCUGGAGGCGGCCUGCGCGCAGGACACGGUACCCGGGGAACAGCAGCUACUCCUGCUCGGGGCCCAGAGGCUGGAUCUAUUUUGGGGUUCCCACCCAUGCACGCCAACGCUGCCCGUCCAUGCAUGCGUCCUCUGGGUCCUGCUUUCUUGCUCCCCUGCCCUUCACAGACGUUCCGGCUGCCUUCGCUGGCCGCCUCAGGCGCGCAGUGGGCACCAGCAUGGCGCUGGGCGGGGGGCUCACACGAAGCAGGGGCUCAGGAGUCAACCAAGCUCCCCCAGCACAGAGCGCCCCUUACCUCUUCCCCAGGGGAAUCCAUCCGCGUGGUGAGCGGCCCCGGAGGGUGCGAGCAGAGACUCAGAAGGGCCUCGUGUUCUUUCCCUGGCGUUGCAGGCGGGCUCCAUAGCUUUCUUGUUACUCUUGGA